CCCUGAACUCCGACGAAAGCCUUGGCAAAUAUGUGAACUUGGGCGACGAAAUGGUUGAAAAUACGACCUGACCACGACCAUCUGGCAACGUCGCAGGCUCUCAUCUCGCUGCUGGCUGUGACUGGCUCCGCGGGCUGCAUCACCGAAGACAAGGCUCUCUAUCAUGCCUCAUAUAGACUAUCACGAAUAUAUGCACACAUGACAAAACACAUUAUCUCGAGGACGCAUGCAAAGGUCACGGUGGGCACUUACAAUACUGGUACCGGAUUCAUCAAGACCUGGUGUUGGUAAGUCUUCUGAUAACUCCAUCUGUGCUAUGAACGCUCUUGUGAUCUUUAGGUGACUCCAGUGGCAAGGAAUGGAAGGACGACCAGGCCAGGUUAGGUUAGGUUAGGUUAGGUUAGGCAGCCCUUUCUUUAUUCGUUGUCAUAGGAGCCGACUAAAGACAAGGGUCGUUCUUAGAGGUUAGGUUAGGUUAGGUUAGUCAGCCCUUCAUUCAUUGUCACCGGAGCCGCCUAAGGACAAGGGUCGUUCUUAGAGGUUAGGUUAGGUUAAGUUAGUCAGCCCUUCAUUCAGUGUCAUCGAAGCCGCCUAAGGACAAGGGUCGUUCUUAGAGGUUAGGUUAGGUUAGGUUAGGUAGCCCUUUUUUUUAUUCUCAUCCGAGCCGCCUAAGGACCAGGAUCGUUCGUAGAGGACAGAUUUACUAAAAGACUUACUAACGACAGGUCUUGUAAGUGGGUUGAUGAAUCCGGCCCCUGUGUCUUAGGGUGUAAGGAGAACAGAAUAUUGUAACAGCGAAUACAGAAGACAAUUUACCUUUAUCUUUCCUACUCUUCCACGACUGACUGACUGAGCUCUCUACCUACACACCCUCUUCUCCUUGAUCCAGUAAGUAGCCAGAGGUAUACAGACUAAUGUUAGAUUAAUUUACACUUAAUACUCAGUAAUAUAUAGUUAUGUAAUAAAAUUAAUUGCUCUGAUAUUCACACUAUAUUGCGGGUUCACAUUGGAAAUAAGUGUUUAUAUAGACUUUCAUGUGUCAUUCUCAGUAAACUACAUGAGCCGUUGGGGAUUACAAGGCCGCGGGCACCGUUUUUUGGAGGAGCGAGAAAAGUACUGUCCAAUUUUUUUUUUUUUUUUUUUUUUUUUUU
Eriocheir sinensis (Chinese mitten crab) is the source of this 1151-nucleotide long non-coding RNA. RefSeq lists it as uncharacterized. The record is from RefSeq and is a predicted model, not a curated record. The transcript is spliced from 2 exons. NCBI's taxonomy places the organism in Eukaryota, Metazoa, Arthropoda, Malacostraca, Decapoda, Varunidae.